Molecule: ribosomal RNA, 301 nt
Filed under: uncultured bacterium
Lineage: Bacteria
Description: partial 16S ribosomal RNA
Rfam family: Bacterial small subunit ribosomal RNA
Source: RNAcentral
CAGCAGCCGCGGUAAUACGAAGGGGGCUAGCGUUGCUCGGAAUUACUGGGCGUAAAGGGCGCGUAGGCGGACAGUUCAGUCAGGGGUGAAAGCCCGGGGCUCAACCUCGGAAUUGCCUUUGAUACUGGCUGUCUUGAGUACGGGAGAGGUGUGUGGAACUCCGAGUGUAGAGGUGAAAUUCGUAGAUAUUCGGAAGAACACCAGUGGCGAAGGCGACACACUGGCCCGUUACUGACGCUGAUGCGCGAAAGCGUGGGGAGCAAACAGGAUUAGAUACCCGCGUAGUCCCUGUCUCUUAUAC